Pan troglodytes (chimpanzee) is the source of this 109-nucleotide unclassified non-coding RNA. It matches the Rfam family "Y RNA". From Rfam's summary of the family: Y RNAs are components of the Ro ribonucleoprotein particle (Ro RNP), in association with Ro60 and La proteins. The Y RNAs and Ro60 and La proteins are well conserved, but the function of the Ro RNP is not known. In humans the RNA component can be one of four small RNAs -- hY1, hY3, hY4 and hY5. NCBI's taxonomy places the organism in Eukaryota, Metazoa, Chordata, Mammalia, Primates, Hominidae. The record is from Ensembl.
GGCUGAUCUGAGUACAGUGGUGUUUACAACUAAUUGAUCACAACCAGUUACGGAAGAAACAUUUCUUUGUUUCUUCUUUACUCCCACUGCUUCACUUGACUAACCUUAA